RNAcentral lists this transfer RNA (73 nucleotides) under Chloroflexota bacterium. Its description in RNAcentral is "Chloroflexi bacterium tRNA-Gly". It matches the Rfam family "tRNA". From Rfam's summary of the family: Transfer RNA (tRNA) molecules are approximately 80 nucleotides in length. Their secondary structure includes four short double-helical elements and three loops (D, anti-codon, and T loops). The record is from RNAcentral. RNAcentral also lists the same sequence under 1 other name. Lineage: Bacteria; Bacillati; Chloroflexota.
GCGGGAGUAGCUUAGUUGGUAGAGCGAUUCCUUGCCAAGGAAUAGGUCGCGGGUUCAAGUCCCGUCUCCCGCU